ACAACGAAGAGUUUGAUCCUGGCUCAGGAUAAACGCUAGCGGCAGGCCUAACACAUGCAAGUCGAGCGGUAACAUGAGAUAGCAAUAUUUUGAUGACGAGCGGCGGACGGG
This 111-nucleotide ribosomal RNA is filed under the name Bacteroidales bacterium. Its description in RNAcentral is "partial 16S ribosomal RNA". It matches the Rfam family "Bacterial small subunit ribosomal RNA", at positions 1 to 106 of the family's 1533-position model. Lineage: Bacteria; Pseudomonadati; Bacteroidota; Bacteroidia; Bacteroidales. The record is from RNAcentral.